ACUCCUACGGGAGGCAGCAGUGGGGGAAUAUUGCACAAUGGGGGAAACCCUGAUGCAGCCAUGCCGCGUGUGUGAAGAAGGCCUUCGGUUGUAAAGCACUUUCAGUAGGGAGGAAGGUAGUGUAGUUAACACCUGCAUUAUUUGACGUUACCUACAGAAGAAGCACCGGCUAACUCCGUGCCAGCAGCCGCGGUAAUACGGAGGGGUGCGAGCGUUAAUCGGAAUUACUGGGCGUAAAGCGCAUGCAGGCGGCCUGUUAAGUCAGAUGUGAAAGCCCGGGGGCUUAACCUCGGAAUUGCAUUUGAAACUGGCAGGCUAGAGUCUUGUAGAGGGGGUAGAAUUUCAGGUGUAGCGUGAAAUGCGUAGAGAUCUGAAGGAAUACCAGUGGCGAAGGCGGCCCCCUGGACAAAGACUGACGCUGAGGUGCGAAAGUGUGGGGAGCAAACA
RNAcentral lists this ribosomal RNA (447 nucleotides) under uncultured bacterium. RNAcentral's name for it is "bacterial SSU rRNA". It matches the Rfam family "Bacterial small subunit ribosomal RNA", at positions 335 to 774 of the family's 1533-position model. The record is from RNAcentral.